RNAcentral lists this ribosomal RNA (253 nucleotides) under uncultured bacterium. RNAcentral's name for it is "partial 16S ribosomal RNA". It matches the Rfam family "Bacterial small subunit ribosomal RNA", at positions 524 to 776 of the family's 1533-position model. The record is from RNAcentral.
GACGUAGGAUGCGAGCGUUGUUCGGAUUUAUUGGGCGUAAAGCGUGCGUAGGCGGUUUCAUAAGUCUGGUGUUAAAGCUAGGGGCUCAACCCCUGUGAUGCACUGGAAACUGUGAGACUUGAGUGCGGUAGGGGAAGGUGGAAUUCCGAGUGUAGCGGUGAAAUGCGUAGAUAUUCGGAAGAACACCGGUGGCGAAGGCGACCUUCUGGGCCGCAACUGACGCUGAGGCACGAAAGCCUGGGGAGCGAACGGG